UUGGCGGCAGGCGUUGGCAGCAGUGUUGGUUGUGGGUGUUGGCGGCGGUGCGGGCUGUGGGCAUUGGCGGUUGUGCUGGCGUGGAUAGGUUUCCGCAUCGGACCACAAUAACAACAACGCCUUUACUUCCUCCUCCGAUGGUGUUGACGGUGGUGUUGCCUCCUGCCACAUAGUGGUGCUGCCUUCUAAAAUAGAUAAAUCUCGAAAUAAAUCUUAUAAUUGGUGUCAUUGUUGUGCUGUUGAGUUUGCAUAUCCCUAUUUUCUUGCCUUUGCUUUUGCC
Molecule: long non-coding RNA, 280 nt
Filed under: Vigna radiata
Lineage: Eukaryota; Viridiplantae; Streptophyta; Magnoliopsida; Fabales; Fabaceae
Description: long non-coding RNA (VRAD_LNC006347)
Source: RNAcentral